Molecule: RNA transcript, 3851 nt
Organism: Pieris brassicae (large cabbage white)
Lineage: Eukaryota; Metazoa; Arthropoda; Insecta; Lepidoptera; Pieridae
Gene name: 4-galactosyl-N-acetylglucosaminide 3-alpha-L-fucosyltransferase FUT6-like
Exons: 10
Source: RefSeq, a predicted model, not a curated record
AACUAGAACGCAGAUCGUCAUGUAAAGUCUGCGUAGUGUCACGCAAAGAUGAUCAAAUUUAUAGAAUACACAUUAAACUUAGUGUUUGUUAAAUAUUACUAAAAUAUUAGAUAGGCUUUUAAAUGUGAUUAAUAAGAAUAUAAAGAUCAAAAUCGUCAAGUUGUGAAGUGACAUACAAAUGAAAAUAAUGUUUUACAAUGAACCAUUAUGUAUUUAAAUGUGAUCACUAUCAGUUUAGUGUAGUCAUUACCGGUAAAACCCGAGUUAUUUAAAUAAAAUGUUAUUUAAAUUAAAGAAAAGGAGUGUACUGUGUAACAUAUUAAUUGUAACAUUAUUUAGUAUAAUUAUAGGAGGAGCGUAUUUAGGCAAGGUUUAUAAAUUAGAUACAAAAUAUUAUAAGGAAUAUGAUACACACGAUGUGGUAGUUAAAGGAUUUUUAGAACAGAGACAGAGUUGGAGGACGUCUAAUGUGGGGUCUUUGUUAUUUAAAUUUCAAUUUGCAAAUGACAUAAUGCAAAACAAUACACUUGGAAGAGAGAACAAAAGGUUUAUUGUUUUAAUAUGGAAAUACUGGGACUGGCUAAAGAAUCGUCACAUUUAUAGUUUUGAUAACGAACGUUUAAGGGAGCCCGUCCCACUAAAGCAGUGCAGCGUGAAAAACUGCUUUUUGACAGGAGAUGAUAAGUACUUGGAAUCAGCUGACGCUGUCGUAGUACACAUACAACACGGCGUGUUUCCUAACACUUCGAAAAGAAAUAAAAGGCAGCGGUGGAUAUUUCUCAACGACGAAUCUCCCAUCAAUGCGUUUUCAAUGGCGAAAGUUAAACCAAAGCUAGAAGACCUGAAAAAUAUUUUUAAUUGGUCCAUGACGUACAGGAUCGACGCAGAUGUACCAGUCCCCUACGGUCGCACAGUGCCUCUCCAUCAACCAAUACUUAGCGACAUCACAAUUAAGUCCCUGUCUGAAUUGGUCCCAAAUUGGCACAUUAAACGCCGUGAUAAGCUGGCUUCAAUCCUGGUGUCUAAUUGUGGGCCAUCGAAAAGACUAGAAUACUUGCACGAGUUAGAAAAUUUCCUACCAUUGGAUGUGUAUGGAAAAUGCUCUAAGGAUCAUAAAAAUAGCUGCCCCGGCCACUUCAAAGCCGACUGCAAGGUGACGGGCCAAUACUUAUUCUACCUUGUGUUUGAGAACUCUCAAUGCCGCGAGUACAUUACGGAGAAGGUAUUCAACAACGCUUAUGAAAAGGGCGCAAUUCCUGUCAUAAUGGGACCGAAAAACGAUGACUGCGCAAAAAUUCUGCCACCCAACUCAUUUUUACACGUAGAUAAAUUCAAUGGACCGAACAAUUUGGCGGAUUAUAUUACAUUUUUAAGUGAAAACGAACACAUUCUGCUCGAAUACCACCGAUGGAGGAAUGAUUUCAAAGUCGCCUACGAAAACCCCAUUGAUCGAUACAUAAAUUUUCCUUAUAUUGAAAUAAUCGCUUAUGAACCCCUGAUUAGCUUCGCAGGCUUUGAAUUAAGUCUCUAUAUAGUAUGUAGUGGAUGCCCACGAUAGGCCUUUAAAAUGGUUCGUGAGCUGCAAGUCUACCUCUGAACUUUUUAAUAGAGAUUGCAUAUUUUCAAACGUUUCAAUUGUUUGCGAUAUCAGCGCUACGGACUAAUGAAUAACUACGUACAUCAAUUUCGUUUAGUAGUACGAUGACGUCAUUAGAGUUUUCAGGGCAGUAAGUCUUAUUGAUUUUUCAUUAGAAAUAUUAGUACUAAAUCGAUUAUUAAAACCUAAACAUAACAAACAAAUAUACAGUAUUUACAAUUUUCUUCACUUACGUAGUAAUAUUAAAUAUAAUUAAAAAUUUAUAAAAUGAUAAUUAAAACAAAUUUAAAAAACUGCCACGGGGUCAGUGUACCUUUAACGCUGGCAGCAUUUCGUUGCUGAUUUUCAAUACUUAAUCGUUAAGUGAGAAAAGCACCAGCUCUGAGGUCACCGGUACUAACUACCAGGUGCUAAGUUAAAUCUUUAAUUAGUGCCUGUGCACUUGAACCCCAUGGCCCAAGAGUCUACUCCAAAGGGGAACAAAAUCGAAGUAGGAAGAAAGACUCUUAUAAUUGUGCCGUUUGAUAUUUUUAUACCGCCUGCUCUGCGGCAGUCCGAGGGAGGAAAGAUGGGGCUAACGUGUCUACACAAGUAGCAUCACAUACCAAAGCCCGUCUUAUCUUCGAAGGGAUCAAGGACGUCCGGCCGCUUGCCAUCGUCUCUAGCGAUGCCUGUUGGGUCUAAAAUGGCUGGAACAUUGACGGAGGCAAAAGCGUGGCGUUGCGAGAAUAGCGAGCUCCACUCUUUUGGCAAUGUUCAAGGCUAUUAGAAAUAAUAUUUAAAGAACCAAAAUGUUGAAAAUUCGAAAGCAGUGUUAGCCGAGUGAAAACGUGAAAGAACAAGCCUUAGAUCCAAAAAAGUCGACGGCGUCUGUCGAACAGAAAUACCUAGUGGUCUUGAAGCCAAAGAUCACUAAACAAAUACAGAAAUCAGAAGAAUUGUUACUUGGUGUGAAAAGUUAUACUUUCUAUAUGUUGAACCUGUUUUCCUACGUAACCCUUCCCAAGGACGAACUCCUAAGGAAUUGCUAAACACAUAAUGCAUGUUAGUCAAAACAAUUUUACGUGAUAAGAUAAUCCAUAAAUACAUUUUAUUUCCAGAGCUGUUAACGGCUUGAUUUGUUCUGCAGCUGUUUUCUUUACGUUCAGCAAUAAAAACUCGCUUCCUAUUACAGCCCUCAUACAUUUUAGAUAUUGCUCCACUUAUGUAAUCGUUUUUAUUACAAUACAACCAUUGUUGCGUGUAAAUUGUGGAACACAAAACACAGGGCUAUGUUAAAAUAACAUACAAUUAUAAUAACUUGGGCACUAACUCCCGACUAUUUGUAUCGAAAAAGAAGCAUGGGCCAACCAAGCAUCCGCGAAUAUACAAUGUUAAUAUAUAAAUAGCAAUUAGGUAUUUAUAUAAAAAAAAACUAAAGAAAAUUAAAAAAAAAUGUUUGCAUUGUCGUCCCCGUCGUUACCACAGAAGGACCAAAAUGACGCGUUAAAAAUAAUCUCCGGUCAAAUGAAAUAGCAGAGUCCAGUUGUGUCCGGCUGGUGACAGCUGUCAAAUAUUUAUGAAGAAGAAAUUCUAACUUUUCAAAAUUCGAAUGACUUCGGUGUUUUUUUAUGAAAUUACAAGAUGUCGCAUCAGAACAUCUCGCAGCAGGAUUUAGCAGGAGCAGAUUAUGGAACGAAAUUAGCAUGAAGAUUCAUCUAUAAAUAUCUUGGGUAACUAUAAAGGGUGCUCCAAUAACUGCCGACUCCUUAUCAGCGGACACAAAAUUAGUUUUAGAAGAAGUAACUCGAGUACUUAACUUGGAGAAAGUGUUGCCAUGCUACAAAAAUACGGUGUCAGUGAGUUGUUUGCGUGCGAUACGUCGUCAAUUGACUUUCUUUCUAUGUGUGCAUUUAACUCGCUCCAAUGCUGAAGGAAACCCGCUUGCCUUAGAUCCAAAAUGUCAACGGCCUAUGUCAGGCAUAGAAGGGUGAUCACCUACUUGACUAUUAGAUUAGCAAAAGAUCAUGAAACAGAUACCAGGCCCAGACUUAAAAAGGUCAGACAACGCCAUUGAUUAAUUAAUGAAUUAGGAUUACUUUAAACACUGACUUGGGUAUUUAAAACCCAUACAGAGAAUCUGUAAACCUAAAUUGUGAACCUGUAGUGAGUAUCACCAAAACUUGGCAAACAUCAGACAGUAAAAGGUGCUAAGUUUCCUCAUUGUGUAAUUAAUUAAUACACUUUUGCAAUACUAGUUUAUUUUUGAACUAGA